GCAUAUGUAAUUUUAAAAUUAUUCUACCCUUCAAUUUUAUCAAAAUAUCUAUUCAUAUAUAUCCAUAUUCUUUUAUAAAAUCCUAAUUUCUAACCCUAAAUUCCCAAAUCACAAACCGUAAUUCCCAAAUUGAAAAUCAGAAACCCUAACCUAAUUUCCUCCAACCCUCAGCAGCUGCCAGCCACACUUCCUUACCUCAAUGGUCACACAACACAGAGCAGAGAAAGAGAUUUGCGGGAAGAAGAGAAAGAAAACGUUGCUGCCGUCGCGCUUGACUGCCGCCGCCGUCGUCCUCAUCGCGCACCGCCACCGUCCAGCAGGUCGUCAUGCCGAGCUCGUUCCACCACCGUCAACACUGCCAUGAAGAAGAGAAGACGACGUCAUAACGCGAGCCAAGGCCGAGAGGAAGGGGACGUUGCUGUGCCUUCAACGCGACCGAUCCGCCGCUGCCACUGGUAGGGUUCUGUCGCCGCCGUUCAUGGAGCUUCGAUUAGCGUCACUGUCAUCGCAUACCAGAGGAGAGGGGAGCUCGUGUGUGAAGAGUAGCGCCGCUGUGCCUCCGUCGCGCCUUCAUCACCAUCGAAUUGUCUUGCUGUUGCUAGCCUCAUAGCCACUUCUGAGGCUGCGCCGCCGUGCCUCUGGUCAUGGGUGGAGUCCACUCCAAGCUGUCACCAUCACAGAAUACGCCCAGAGGAGAGGGAGAAAGGAUCUCCACCGCUGUCAAGGUCGCUAGUGAGUCGUGCACUGUCACCAGAGUCUAAAACAGCACCAGCCUUCUUGUUCUGGUUCUGAUAUUCCUAUUCUUGAACCUGUGAUAGUGUCGGUGAUAAUAAAGAACUGUUGGAGUUGCUGCUGCUGCUGCUGUUCCGGCCGCAUUGGCUGUUGUAAACUGGGAAAAAGAAAGGGAUCGUUGCGUUUAAAUUCGACGGUUUCGACUAAUUGAGUGACACAGGUUCGAAGAUACAGUUUGAAGCUGCGGGCGAUUAUAGAAUUUAUUUAUGAGUUAAAUGUAUGAGUUAAUUUGCUUUCAUAGAAUUUCCCUCGCCCUUACUGCUUAAGGUUUUUAUUUUAUGCAGAGGGAUAGGAGUUGUACCUGAAUUUUAUUUAAAUUCUGUUGUAUAAUAUUACUAUUAUUAAUAAUUAUGUGAUUAUUAUUACUUGGUGAUAUUUGCUAUAUGAUUUUAAUUAUCAAAAACAAAAUUUUCUGGUAUUUUUACUAAAAUUGAAUCGCGAUAUCGAACUAGAGGCUCAAUAGUAAAUAGUUAAUAAAGGAAAGCAGGUUGGUAAUGCCUUACUUUUGGUACGAUCAUGACGUUCUAGAAGUUGGGUCGUUACAAUAUGGUAUCAGAGCAGUUCGUUCCUGUUAGAGCCUUGGGAAUGGACUGACUAUGCUUUACUGCAUACUCUGAGUGUCUGUCAUGCUUGUGACUUGUUCUGAUAACAAGAGUUUGUGUUUUAUUUGCAUGACUGUCUGAUAAUUAACACUGUUGGUUUACCAUUGCAUUCCUCAUGGUAUUAGGUCUGGCCAACUUAAUACUAAUGAUUUAUGUGUAUGGGAACACUAAUGGGUUAUCAUAGACGAAAUAGAAGAAUAGGUAAUGCGAUUUACGGGAUUUGGGAGUGUUAGAGGUUAUGAAGUUAGCUUCGAUUCGACGUAUAAUCUUUCUUCGUGCCACAUGAACUCGUGCUAUCCUUUUCUUCGUUGCUUUCAUUGGAAUUCUCAUGUUUGAAUUUCCUUCUUAGAAUGUGAUUUGCUUGUUUCCCAACCAUACUUUGUCAUUCUUGUAUACCUUUGCUUGCCUAUGAAUCUGAUUGCUUAUGUAACUCCUUGAAUAUCCAUCCUUGACAAUGCCUAUACUUCGGUUCGUAUAUUUUGUUUUCUUUUAUUUCAAUUUGGACUUAUUUUAUUCUAACAAUUUUCGA
Molecule: long non-coding RNA, 1923 nt
Organism: Arachis stenosperma
Lineage: Eukaryota; Viridiplantae; Streptophyta; Magnoliopsida; Fabales; Fabaceae
Exons: 3
Source: RefSeq, a predicted model, not a curated record